This 379-nucleotide ribosomal RNA is filed under the name uncultured cyanobacterium. Its description in RNAcentral is "bacterial SSU rRNA". It matches the Rfam family "Bacterial small subunit ribosomal RNA", at positions 376 to 770 of the family's 1533-position model. The record is from RNAcentral. Lineage: Bacteria; Bacillati; Cyanobacteriota.
CGAAAGCCUGACGGAGCAAGACCGCGUGAGGGAGGAAGGCUCUUGGGUUGUAAACCUCUUUUCUCAGGGAAGAAGCUCUGACGGUACCUGAGGAAUCAGCAUCGGCUAACUCCGUGCCAGCAGCCGCGGUAAGACGGAGGAUGCAAGCGUUAUCCGGAAUUAUUGGGCGUAAAGCGUCCGCAGGUGGCUAGUCAAGUCUGCUGUCAAAGACCAGGGCUUAACCCUGGGCCGGCAGUGGAAACUGGUUAGCUGGAGUACGGUAGGGGUAGAGGGAAUUCCCGGUGUAGCGGUGAAAUGCGUAGAGAUCGGGAAGAACAUCGGUGGCGAAAGCGCUCUACUGGACGGCAACUGACACUCAGGGACGAAAGCUAGGGGAGCG